Molecule: ribosomal RNA, 629 nt
Filed under: Sirpus zariquieyi
Lineage: Eukaryota; Metazoa; Arthropoda; Malacostraca; Decapoda; Pirimelidae
Description: partial 16S ribosomal RNA
Rfam family: Bacterial large subunit ribosomal RNA
Source: RNAcentral
GUCUACUUGGAGUUAUAAGUAGUCUGACCUGCUCACUGAUAUAUAAUUAAAGAGCCGCGGUACUUUGACCGUGCAAAGGUAGCAUAAUCAUUAGUUCUUUAAUUGAGAACUGGUAUGAACGGUUGGACAAGAGAGAGACUGUCUCUGACGUUAGAAUUAAAUUUAACUUCUAAGUGAAAAGGCUUAGAUGUACUAGGGGGACGAUAAGACCCUAUAAAGCUUUAUACAUUAACUAAUAAGGGGUAAUUAGCUUAUAAAUUCCUAUUUGGAAAGAUGUAUUUAGUUGGGGCGACUAAGGUAUAAUUCAUAGUAACUGAUUGAUAAAAAUUCAGCAAUAGCUGAUUAGGCAAGUUAAAAGAUCCUUUCUAGAGAUUAAAGAUUAAGUUACUUUAGGGAUAACAGCGUAAUUUUCUCUGAGAGUCCAAAUCGAAGAGAAAGAUUGCGACCUCGAUGUUGAAUUAAAAUGUCUUUCCGGCGCAGCAGCUGGGGAAGAAAGUCUGUUCGACUUUUAAACUUUUACAUGAUUUGAGUUCAGACCGGCGUAAGCCAGGUCGGUUUCUAUCUCCUAGCAAACACUAGCUAUUCUAGUACGAAAGGAUUGAGUAGUUAAAAAUGUUUUAAUCAUUGGC